RNAcentral lists this long non-coding RNA (477 nucleotides) under Coturnix japonica (Japanese quail). RNAcentral's name for it is "lncRNA (ENSCJPG00005014880.1)". Lineage: Eukaryota; Metazoa; Chordata; Aves; Galliformes; Phasianidae. The record is from RNAcentral.
AGGAUCAUGUUAAUUAUUUGUGACUCACUCAUUGCACUGUGGAACCCACAUAUUGAUGUUAAUAUUCUUCAAAUGGAGACGUCAAUUUUUGUGGAGGAAAGAAGUCUAGAGGAACUGCUGAGGCUUUUCUUACUGAUAGCAUACUUGGAAGAGCUUGUAAAUGAGCAGGGUCAUAAGAAACAGCAAGGGAAGAAAAGAAUGUAAAAAAGUCUGGAGAAGUUUUGUUUGGAAUCAAUUGCAGAUGAAAAUUUCAGGGUAAUCAGUGAUGGAGAUGCAUAAGAAAACUCAGUGGGUAAGUUAAAAUGUUUUUUGUCACUUCCAUUAAUUUAAACAUCUGACGUAUAGAAGGCUGAGCUACUUGAAAGUCACUUGUAUUAACAUUCCAAAGACAAUUGAACAUAUUUGAGAAUGUUAGCUCCACAUCUUAAAAUGUCAGCGAUGCUUGAGCCUCUGGGAAGUCUCAAGUUUGAAUGAAAG